GGGAUAUAAGAAGGAGAUAAGUUUGAUAUAAGAAAUAGCAAUGAAACAUGGUUAUAAACGAAGCCUGAUAUCUAAACUGAUAAAAGCAUCAAAACCUAGGAGACAUGUUACCAAGACCAUGAGUACCGAAAUUAAUAAUGAAGCGAACAUGGACCAGCAGCAAGAACAGAAGCCUGCCUACACCUUAAUACCAGAAGCUAUAAGAGACUUCCCAGUGGUCAAGAACAUCCUGAGGAAAAAAGGAAACAAGUCUGCGUAUAAAAGACCCCCCCUACGGUCUUUAAUGUGCUAAGAAAUGAGGAAGAUACGAGGAGUGAAUAUGAAAAAACGGGCUUAUACCAAAUUCCCUUCCGGGACCAGGAGAAAGAACAGAAGAGCUCUACAUAGGAGCCACAACAAGGAAUCUCAAGGACAGGCUGAAGGAGCAUAUAAGAGAUCUAAAAAAUGCAAAUUUGACAAUGGCUUUAGUUAGGAAGGCCUAUGAGAGCGACAUUAAUAUCAAAUGGGAAGAUUUGAAAGUAAUUAAGCCGGUAAAUUUUUUUGAAGAACUAACUACACCAGAGACUUUGCAGAUUUACAAGUUUGGAAGACAAGCGAUGGUCAUCAAUGAUAGGCAGCUAGAAUCCUUACAUAAGCUGUGGAAAUAUCUCUUGAAUGAAUAAGACUAACACUGACCAUUACCAUAACCAACAGUGACCGGUGCUAUCAACUGAAACAUUAGGCGGGUAUCUUAUUGAAAGCUUAAAAAAUUGGCUCCCU
RNAcentral lists this long non-coding RNA (759 nucleotides) under Androctonus crassicauda. Lineage: Eukaryota; Metazoa; Arthropoda; Arachnida; Scorpiones; Buthidae. The record is from RNAcentral.